GAGUUUUUGGAAGUUAUAUCUGUAAGGGAGAGAGAGAGUCAUGAUUAUGCAGAGGAAGAAGCUGACUCCUGAAGUGGUUGAGCUGAAGAAGUCUCAGCUAAUGCUACGGUAAAGAAACUGAAGCAAAUGGUUUUUAAAUAAAUGGGAAAGCUGGAUUCAAACCUAUGCCAUCUAGUUCCAGACCCUGAUAUGUUCCAGACCCCAGUGAAAUGAAAUAAUGUACAUCAAGUCCAUAUGGAGCAAAAGCUAAGCUGAUGAAGUUGGGAAGCAGAAGCUGAAACUCUCAGAGAAACUGUAUCUUUGGUCCCUUGGAGCCAGUUUGCAAGUGAAAAGAACAAGGUGAAGAGUGGUGUUGAGCAGCCAGGUUAUGCUCUAGAAUAUGCUCCCAGAGACCAGGUGUUUGAGAUGAAAGGACCCCAGCUUCUCUUAGAGGAGAAGCACCAAGAACAACUGAUCACCAUGCGAGAUUGUGGCAUAAGAGAGAACUCAAAACUCUGUUACCUUAGGCCACAGAGUUUUGGGCUUUUUACAGUAGCGCGUGUGUUACUUCACAAGUACGAACACUGACAAGGAAAUUAUUGAAAUGUGGGAUCAACAUCCCACAUGAUAAGCCCAUGUGCUUGCUCCUCGGUCCAUCACCAUCGAUCAGGUCCCUGAUCUCUGCCCGUGGGCCUGGCAGAGGAAUGGCUGCACGGACCUGUGGAGCCCAAGUGUGCGGAGGCCAUAAUUUCAGGCUAACGAACGCUCCGCAGGCUCCUUUGCUGCUUGCCAGCUCUCGGCUUUGUGUGCUGGAAACAUCUUGAACAAAGUGUCAUGAAGAGCAUCUUGGCUGUGUCCUGCUGACUGAGGACAUGGGGCUGCCGAGUUUGCCAUCUGCCUGCAGCCUCUCUG
This is a long non-coding RNA of Talpa occidentalis (Iberian mole), 891 nucleotides long. RefSeq lists it as uncharacterized. The record is from RefSeq and is a predicted model, not a curated record. The transcript has 5 exons. NCBI's taxonomy places the organism in Eukaryota, Metazoa, Chordata, Mammalia, Eulipotyphla, Talpidae.